Molecule: long non-coding RNA, 4955 nt
Organism: Peromyscus californicus insignis
Lineage: Eukaryota; Metazoa; Chordata; Mammalia; Rodentia; Cricetidae
Exons: 4
Source: RefSeq, a predicted model, not a curated record
AUGCGCACUGGUCAUGAGGCCUGCAGUUUCACCUACUACAGUGAGCAGCUGCUGGAGGCAGCGUGGGAGACAGUAGCAGAGGCUGCCUGCAGGGACAGGGCAGCAAAGCAGAAGGGAGGCGCCAACGCAGUCCACUGAAGGAGCCUAAAAGGGAGCCCCAGGAGAAGGGGACAUCAUCUGUGUGCUACGAACUGCAACAGUGAUUGCACAGAAGUCACCAAGAAAGACCAGUUCCCUGGCUCCCUAGAGAAGGACUUUGAGCAUGGGCCAGGCCCCGGGGACAUCAAAGCAGAAGAUACAAUCUAGGCAUGGUUGACUUCGCCCAUUUCUCACACAGGCCUGGCGCUAGAUACAAGUUCCAAGAUGCAGUCCAUCACUGCAGGGAGGCCAAGGUAGCAGGUGUCUGGAGCAACUGGUCACAUCAGGAAGCAGAGAAAGACCAGUGCAUCUUAGUACUCAGCUCCCUUUCUCCAUUUUAUACAGCACAGAAUCUUCUGCCCAGGUAAAAUUGCACCCACCUCCUCGGUGAAGUCUUUACCCACUCUCAGAGUGACUCACAAUCUUCCUGCAGCAACGCCACUCAUGUGUGCCAUUAUGUGAAUCAUCAAACACUGGGAACACACUGCAGCUGCUACUGCCCUGAAACCGAAAGGGGAACUGAGAAGUCCUGGCCAGGCUUCUGACCAGCACUUCCUCACAGAACUCACCUCACCGACCACCUGCCUGACCCACUUCUGUAAUCUGAUUCACCAUUUUGGAGUCUGCCUUCAGCCCAGGAGGUUGUACCUCAGGCUCGCCAGCUGUGGAGUGGGGGGAGGGGGGGGCUGGUUGCCACCAUGGAGCAGGUGCUGAGAGGGAACAACACAACCAGAAUGAGUGCCAGCCCUGGCCUGCUGUCAAAACCAGUGGGAAGCAGGAGGCACAAGUGGCGCUCACAUGGCAAGGGCCUGGAAGUGCCAGAGAGAUGUUUGGCAUCCUAAUCCCAGGGAUUCUAUGGAGGACUCUCCAUGGAAAAGACCUUGCCUGAGGGGAGGAUCCAAGUUUCUGUCUUCGGUGGAAGCCAAAAGGGAUGACUGUUUCCAAAAGCCUUGGCCUGUGGGCAGCAGGGAGGAGACAGUUAAACUCCCAGGUCUGGACAUUGUGGCCACAACCAGGCCAAACCCACAAACAGAGAGAGGGUCCAUCUUCCACAGUGCCCGGGCCAGUGAGCUGAGGAGAUAGGAAUUCAAAUUCCAAGCUUCCCCCAUGUCUAGGUGGCAAACAGAGCUGCAUAAAUCCAGAAAAAUGGGUGGCUGUAGUCUUUUGUGGGUCACGUACAGGCCCCAGUUCCUCUGGGCUGGAAAAUGAAUAUACAUUGCAGUAGAAAUGUCACCUUUGAUGUUUUUACAGUACUGGGGGAGUGUCUUUUUUUGUGUGUGCCCAGAACUUUACACCAUUCCCAUCCAUCCCACAUCACCUUGUGGUGGUACCAUUUUGUUUUCCUCCUCCUCCUCCUUGGUUUUUCUCUUUGUAGCCCUGACUGCCUUGGAACUCACUCUGUAGACCAGACUGGCCUUGAACUCAGAGAUGCCUGCCUCUACCUCAUGAGUGCUGGGAUUAAAGGCGUGCACCACCAUGCUCUGCUCAAGUGAUACUAUUUUCAAUUGUCACAGAACAUCCUUGUUCCCAGGGCAAGUACCUACUAAUGAUGGUGAGAUACCUCUUUUCUCUCUGUGAAGGCUUCUUUUGCAGAGCAGAGGAAGGAAAUCGGUUUGGAGAAGCCAGGACAAUAAGAAGCCAGGAGAAAGUGGGGAAAUUACUAAGCGCUUCUGUCUGGCUGGAGUAUAGGGAAAGCCGGGAAGCCCAGGACUGACCAGAGCUGCCUGUUUCACUGGAAAAGCAGGGGACGUUGGCCUUGGCUGCACUGACACAUCACUCUGCACACUGCAUCAGCAGUCUGGAAGAGAGGGUGAAAAGGAAGUGGGGCAGGCUCUAGGACCUCAAAGUCCGCCCCCCGAUCCACUUCCUCCAGCAAGGUGCACCUCCCACUCUGGCCAUAGCAGAGAGUUUUGAAGGGAUCUUGAAAGAGCAGCUUUUUGCUGGAAUUUGGAAAUGCGGUGCCAAGAACCUCAGAAAUGAGGUACGUGGUAGGAGCAGGUAUAAAAGGGGUUUUGGGGAACAGUGUGCUGCUGCAGGUGCCUGCAGCUGAAGUACUGACAGUGCCCAUGAGACCUGCCCUGAAGGACUUACAGAGACAAGCAGGGGACACUGAAAAGGAUGAUUAUGUUGAGACAUGUGUGUGUAUAAAUAUCAUUAAAUCUUGAGGAUUUCAUACAUGCAUAUAAAAUAUUUUGAUUCAUAACCAUCCCUUCACCCCCUAACUCUACAAGAUACCUUCCCCACCCUUCACCCCAUCCCAAUUUUAUGUCCUUCCCUUACCUAGCCCACUGAUUCUCAUCUGUGCUGCCCAUAUACUCAUGGAUUUGGGGCUGUUUCCUGGAGCCUGGUAGGUCUACCAAGAUCGACAGUCGUUAUGAAACUGACUCUCCCUCCCCCUAGAAGCCAUCAACUGUCAACAGCUCUUCAGCUAGGGUGGGGGCUCAUAAGAAUGAGAGUUCUGUCAGUCAGAUUGAGAGAGGUGGCCUGGCAGUUAGAAUUUCACUCAAAAACAUGUGAUUUAUAUUGCACACACAGGCCCAUGAGGUCAUAGGUUACCUAGAUCACGCCUCUAUUAUGAAGGCAGGAAACAUACCAUGGGAAAUUAAGAACCUUUUAAAAAUAUACACUGCUGUGACUUGGAUGUGCCUCAUUCCCCCCAAGGACUCAUGCAUUGGCAAGUCGUUCUCCAGAGUGAUGAUGUGACAGGUGGUGUCCUCGUGGAAGAUCACUGCCUCACUGUGGCUGCUGUCCUUGAAGGAGAUUAAUGUCCUUCUCUCCUUCUCGUCGGACCCCAGGAGUUAGCUUCACAACACUUUGUUAUUAUAAAAGGCUGCUCCCUAAAUCCUUCUGGCUCUCUUUCUUACAUGUAAUGUUUCUUUUUUUGCAUGUUUCCCCAUGAUGCCAUCACCAUGUUGCAGCGAAGCAGGACCUCACCAGAGUUAACCAUAGUCGUGCUGCCUGGACUCUGUAGAGGCUUCAAUGUGAAACGUCCCCCAUAAGUCCAUGUGUUUAAACACUUGGCCCCCAGAUGGCAGUGCUGAUUGAGAAGGUGGUAGAACCUUUGGGAGAUGCAGCCUUGCUGGAGGAAGUGAGUCCCCGGGGGCAGGCUUUGAGGUCCCACAGCCUGGCCACACUUCCUUUUCACUCUCUCUUCCAGACUGCUGAUGCAGUGUGAUAAGUGAACUUCAUGCAGUUGCCACCAUGGUAGACUGUAGACCCUCUGGAACUGUAAGUCUGAAUAAAAACCCUGUCUGCUUUCAUCAGGAUGUCUUAUCACAGCAACAAAAAAGAAACUAAUACAGACUCUGAAUCUCCAAGUUAAAUGCACCUCUUUUCCUCAUAAAGAGCCUGAGUAACAGGAAAUAGACUAAGACACACCUCCACAGAACAGAGAGCAGCUGGGAUUUGAAACAAACUUCUCCUAAUCUCCCACAAGCACAGAGCAGUCAGAGGGCCAGAAUCUUCCGUGCUUGUCACAGAUCCACCAGUACUCUGUAACAUAAGGGAUAAUUGCUUGAAUGUUGGCUUCUCAUGCUGGCCUGCAUGCCUUUCAGGGAAGCUCAUGUCUGCCCUGCAACUUUACUAAAAUAGAAUCGCUAAGAUCUAGUAAAGAAAUAUAUAGGGCUGAAGAGGUGGCUCAGUAGUUAAAAACGCUUGCUGCUCUUUGAGAGGACCUGGGUUUGGUUCCCACCAUCCACAUGGUGGCUCACAAUCAUCUGUAACACCAGUUUGAGAGUAUUCAAUGACUUUAUCUGACCUCCACAGGUACCAGAGUUCAAGGUCAGCCUCAGUUACCUACUAAGCUCAAGGCCAGCCUAGACUACAUGAGAUGCUUCCUCAAAAAGAAAAGAAAGAAAAUCAAACCCAGAAAGUCAUGCAUUGUAGAUUCAUUUCAAUGAAGUGUGGCUAGGUCAAUUCAUAGAGACAGAAGGCAAAUCGGUGGUUGUCAGAGGUGGAGGGAGGGAAGCAAGGAGAGUUAUUGCUAAUGGGCUUGGAAUUCCCUUUGGGAGCUGAUGAAAAUAUUCUGCAAGUAGUAGAGAUAUUUGGACAGUUUGCAUUUAUAUGAAAACUCAUUGAACUGUAUACUUUAAAAGUGUUAAUUGCAUGUUAUGUUAAUUAUGUCUUAAUUAAAAUGCUCAGAAUUUGUUGAAAACAGAAAAGAUAAUUUCAAGAGGUGUGUUAUCUGGCCAAAUAGUGCAACCAUCCUCUCAUGACCCAUGAUCUCUGACUCUUCCAAGACAAAAAAAAAAAAAAUGGCAUGCAUCUCACAAAGAAUUGGAGAGGACAUGUCCACUGCCCUAUUUAUUAGUAAAAAUUCUCCAGAAAGACAGAAUCACUUAUCUAGAUAAAUGAUAGGAUGGGUAGAUAGAUUAUAGAUAAUGGAUGAUAGAUAGAUAGAUAGAUAGAUAGAUAGAUAGAUAGAUAGAUAGAUAGUAGGUCAAUAGGUAGGUGGAUAGAUGAUUGAUAGAUGAUGGGAGAUAGAUAAUAGAUGAUUGAUAGAUAUAUAGAGAGAUGAUAGAAACAUAGAUAGAUGACUACGGAGACUGAGACAUCUCAGGAUGAUCCAUCUGCAUGCUUUUGAAUAAGGGAAGUUGGUAGGAUGGCCCAAUCCAUGUUGAAAUGCCUAAGACCUGUGGGGCUUGUUGUACAAGUCCUAGAUCUGAAGGCCAGAAGGGCCUCAACCACUGAUGCCCAAGGGCAAAAAGAAGGUUGUAGCAUGAGAGAGAAGAGGGGGAAGAGAGGAAAAGAGGGUAGGAGGGAUGGGGAGAAGAUCAAGGAGGGAGUGAGGGAGAGACAUAACCUUUUCUCCACUAUUU